UACGGAGGAUCCAAGCGUUAUCCGGAUUUAUUGGGUUUAAAGGGUCCGCAGGCGGAUUAUUAAGUCAGUGGUGAAAUCCUGCAGCUCAACUGUAGAACUGCCAUUGAUACUGAUAGUCUUGAGUGUGGUUGAAGUGGGCGGAAUGUGUCAUGUAGCGGUGAAAUGCAUAGAUAUGACACAGAACACCGAUUGCGAAGGCGGCUCACUAAGCCAUUACUGACGCUCAGGGACGAAAGCGUGGGGAUCAAACAGG
This 253-nucleotide ribosomal RNA is filed under the name uncultured bacterium. Its description in RNAcentral is "partial 16S ribosomal RNA". It matches the Rfam family "Bacterial small subunit ribosomal RNA", at positions 524 to 776 of the family's 1533-position model. The record is from RNAcentral.